This 76-nucleotide transfer RNA is filed under the name Armatimonadota bacterium. Its description in RNAcentral is "Armatimonadetes bacterium (activated sludge metagenome) tRNA-Ile". It matches the Rfam family "tRNA". From Rfam's summary of the family: Transfer RNA (tRNA) molecules are approximately 80 nucleotides in length. Their secondary structure includes four short double-helical elements and three loops (D, anti-codon, and T loops). Further hydrogen bonds mediate the characteristic L-shaped molecular structure. tRNAs have two regions of fundamental functional importance: the anti-codon, which is responsible for specific mRNA codon recognition, and the 3' end, to which the tRNAs corresponding amino acid is attached (by aminoacyl-tRNA synthetases). tRNAs cope with the degeneracy of the genetic code in two manners: having more than one tRNA (with a specific anti-codon) for a particular amino acid; and 'wobble' base-pairing, i.e. permitting non-standard base-pairing at the 3rd anti-codon position. Lineage: Bacteria; Bacillati; Armatimonadota. The record is from RNAcentral.
GGGCCUGUAGCUCAGUGGUCAGAGCGGACGGCUCAUAACCGUUUGGUCGGGGGUUCAAGUCCCCCCGGGCCCACCA